RNAcentral lists this ribosomal RNA (117 nucleotides) under Saimiri boliviensis boliviensis (Bolivian squirrel monkey). Lineage: Eukaryota; Metazoa; Chordata; Mammalia; Primates; Cebidae. The record is from RNAcentral.
GUCUACAGCCAUAUUACCCUGAACACACCCAAUCUCAUCUGAUUUCAGAAGCUAAGUAGGGUUGGGCCUGGUUAGUACUUGGAUGGGAGAAAUGCAACUGAUUUUUGCAUGUUGAUU